CCCAGCCAGGACGUCUGCGUAUCACUGUGCGUCAGCUUCCUGACAGGUGUUCUUGAGAUGCCGGAGGCUGGCUCUGGCUCGUUCUCCUCUCUUCCACUUGAGGGUCCUGCUCAAAUGCUGACCAUGCCGCUCCCCUGCCCGAACCCAUCACUGACUGCCCUGCCACUCCACUACCGUCUUAAUCUUAACUCCUGCAGCAGGCUUCCUGGGGCUGGCACCUGUGUGUCCUUUAACCUGAUCUCGGGUCACUCUCCCCUUCACUCCAUAAGCUCUUUUUGCCUUAGGGUAUUUCCAUCCUGUCACUUUCUCCUCCUUGAUUAGUACCCCAUCCUCACCUACUUAGCGCCCCUUCCCUGAGAACUCAGGCCAAUGUUUCCUUACACUCCUCUGAACCAGAUCAGGCCCCGCUGGCUGACACUCUUUACACCAGCCACAUGCAACCCCACGCAUCACAAUACCAGUAGCUGGAAGAAGCAAGUAACAGUCCUCUCCUGGAGCCUUUAGAGGAAGCAUGGCUUCUCAAUUUCAGACUUCUCACUUCCAGAUUCGUGAGAGGAUACAUUUCUGUGCUUUUAAGCCAUCCAGUUUCUAGUCAUCUAUUUCAGCAACCACAGGAUAUUAAUACACCUUUCAAACUGCUUUCAAAGUAGUCCAUCUAGCUCAUCAAAGAUUUCUUGAGCUCCUCCUUCACACCAGGUACUGGACUACAUUUUGGGGAUGCAUAGAGGAAAAACUAUCUUUCCUGUUCUCACAGAAUUUACAAGAAUGAAAUGUUCUGGUUGCUAUGGGUGAUGCAAGGAGAGAAUUUCACAGCAAACAGGAGUAACACAAUGAAGAAGGAAUCAGCUAACCACCCUUGUCUCUCACUCCUAUGGAAUUAAACUCCAAAUUCUGCCUCCCA
Molecule: long non-coding RNA, 901 nt
Organism: Odocoileus virginianus texanus
Lineage: Eukaryota; Metazoa; Chordata; Mammalia; Artiodactyla; Cervidae
Source: RefSeq, a predicted model, not a curated record